This is an RNA transcript of Syngnathus typhle (broad-nosed pipefish), 1414 nucleotides long. It is a transcript of the gene named endonuclease/exonuclease/phosphatase family domain containing 1, with no coding region annotated. The record is from RefSeq and is a predicted model, not a curated record. Lineage: Eukaryota; Metazoa; Chordata; Actinopteri; Syngnathiformes; Syngnathidae. The transcript has 3 exons.
UUUUUUUGGUUUGUUAUUUUUUUGUCGAGCUCCCUUCUUCUUCUUUUCUUUUCUUUACGUGGUUGGAAAACAACGGUUUGUAGCAUUACCGCCCCCAAUUGGUUCGGAGUUAGGCGUGAUAUGUGACCGCCGUCAAGCCACGAUCUGUGACCCCAGCGUGAUCUAAAGUGCGCAUGCGCGAAAGUUCGACAUCUUGAAUCGCUAACUACGGCAUAUACACUAAGUCAAAAUACGUCAAUUUUGCCUGCGCAGUGGUGCGCCUUCGUUUAUGAUGGGAGUGACAGGAGAAGCGAGAAGAUUGCUUUUUGUUGUUUUGUUUUUAAGAUCUUUUUUUUUUUUGUUCGCGAAUAAAUGAAUAGUGUCGCAGUACUACAUAAAAACGUGGGGGGUAGCAUGAGCUAAGUAGCUGUGCAGUACUUCCGACUCCCGUUGAGCGUGUAACCUGCGUUGGAUAGAAACAUUUAUUAUUGGCUUUGCAGCUUCGAUACCCAUAUCCUUUCUUCGACGUGACACAACAAUAUCCCUCCAAACUCAACAUGCUAGGUCCAAAGGGGACAAAGUUUAGUGUGGAGCUCCACAGUUGCUUUCUAAAAGGACACGUUUGCAAAGGUCCAUCCACUCUUAUGAAGCAUAGUUAGGGAUUAGCUUCUGGCUGCUCUGUAGUUGCAAUAUUUUCUGCUGACCUCGUGUCAUGGGUGGGAGUCUGGGUUGCCACCGCUCCAUCCCCAAAGACCCCACUGAUUUCAGCAACGGUAAGCACAAAUUGAGCACGGCGUGUAACUUUGGAAGCAUUCUGAUGAACCAGGGUGGGAGUCUGGGUUGCCACCGCUCCAUCCCCCCCAAAGACCGCACUGAUUUCAGCAAUGGCAAGCCCAAAUUCAGCACCGCGCAUAACUUUGGAAGCAUGCUGAUGAACCAAGACCGUGUCGACAUCAACACGGCCACUGAGGAGGAACUCAUGACUCUUCCAGGCGUUAACCGCACUGUCGCUCGGAAUAUCGUCGCCUACCGCAACUGCAUUGGUGGAUAUCAGAAAGUGGAAGAUCUGGCACUUGUCGAUGGAAUAGGGGGAGCCAAGCUGGAGGUGAUCAAAGUGGAAAUAUGUGUCUCCAGUCAAAGUUCGUCAACUCCUUGUCCUCACUGUGCCAAGACCUGUAACCGUCGUCUUCUGGCAUGAACGUGGGUGGACACAGCCGCCCUUCGCUCACGAGGAGUACCCGAGGUGGAAUGAGUCGAUCAGACCCCUGUCGGUCCUCCCUCGCCUGGAGCAGAGUUUGUAUUCCGGCAACGCGGGCCCCCUUAGCUUCACAGGCUACACUGUCCUCUUUCUCGGAUAUGCUUAUUCUCUACUAUUCCGCUCUAUGUUUCACACCCCCAUUCCCUCCUAAAUAAAAUAGUAAAUGGGUGACCAGUA